Molecule: transfer RNA, 54 nt
Filed under: Alopecion guttatum (spotted house snake)
Lineage: Eukaryota; Metazoa; Chordata; Lepidosauria; Squamata; Lamprophiidae
Description: tRNA-Ser
Source: RNAcentral
GAGGGGUUUACAAGAUCUGCUAACUCUUUAAUCUGGCAUUAAUAUCCGGCCCCC